CGACAUCUGAGUUGGACUAAAGAUUCAUCGCUAUGGGAUGGGGAUGCGUCCGAUUAGCUUGCCGGCGGGGCAACGGCCCACCGGGGCGACGAUCGGUAGGGGUUCUGAGAGGAAGGUCCCCCACACUGGUACUGAGACACGGACCAGACUCCUACGGGAGGCAGCAGUGAGGAAUAUUGGUCAAUGGGCGAGAGCCUGAACCAGCCAAGUAGCGUGCAGGACGACGGCCCUACGGGUUGUAAACUGCUUUUAUACGGGGAUAAAGUUCGCCACGUGUGGUGUUUUGUAGGUACCGUAUGAAUAAGGACCGGCUAAUUCCGUGCC
RNAcentral lists this ribosomal RNA (324 nucleotides) under uncultured bacterium. Its description in RNAcentral is "bacterial SSU rRNA". It matches the Rfam family "Bacterial small subunit ribosomal RNA", at positions 186 to 509 of the family's 1533-position model. The record is from RNAcentral.